GUGGGGAAUAUUGGACAAUGGGCGAAAGCCUGAUCCAGCCAUGCCGCGUGUGUGAAGAAGGUCUUCGGAUUGUAAAGCACUUUAAGUUGGGAGGAAGGGCAGUAAGUUAAUACCUUGCUGUUUUGACGUUACCGACAGAAUAAGCACCGGCUAACUUCGUGCCAGCAGCCGCGGUAAUACGAAGGGUGCAAGCGUUAAUCGGAAUUACUGGGCGUAAAGCGCGCGUAGGUGGUUUUGUAAGUUGGAGGUGAAAUCCCCGGGCUCAACCUGGGCACUGCCUCCAAAACUGCAUGACUAGAGUACGGUAGAGGGUAGUGGAAUUUCCUGUGUAGCGGUGAAAUGCGUAGAUAUAGGAAGGAACACCAGUGGCGAAGGCGACUACCUGGACUGAUACUGACACUGAGGUGCGAAAGCGUGGGGAGCAAACAGGAUUAGAAACCCUGGUAGUCC
Molecule: ribosomal RNA, 450 nt
Filed under: uncultured bacterium
Lineage: Bacteria
Description: partial 16S ribosomal RNA
Rfam family: Bacterial small subunit ribosomal RNA
Source: RNAcentral